Suncus etruscus (white-toothed pygmy shrew) is the source of this 107-nucleotide small nuclear RNA. The record is from RefSeq and is a predicted model, not a curated record. NCBI's taxonomy places the organism in Eukaryota, Metazoa, Chordata, Mammalia, Eulipotyphla, Soricidae.
AUGCUCGCUUUGGCAGCACAUAUGCUAAAAUUGGAAUGAUACAGAUAAGAUUAGCAUGGCCCCUGCACAAGGAUGACAUGCAAAUUCAUGAACUGUUCCAUAUUUAA